GACGAACGCUGGCGGCGUGCUUAACACAUGCAAGUCGAACGGAAAGGCCCUGCUUUUGUGGGGUGCUCGAGUGGCGAACGGGUGAGUAACACGUGAGUAACCUGCCCUUGACUUUGGGAUAACUUCAGGAAACUGGGGCUAAUACCGGAUAGGAGCUCCUGCUGCAUGGUGGGGGUUGGAAAGUUUCGGCGGUUGGGGAUGGACUCGCGGCUUAUCAGCUUGUUGGUGGGGUAGUGGCUUACCAAGGCUUUGACGGGUAGCCGGCCUGAGAGGGUGACCGGCCACAUGGGGACUGAGAUACGGCCCAGACGCCUACGGGAGGCAGCAGUGGGGAAUAUUGCACAAUGGGCGGAAGCCUGAUGCAGCAACGCCGCGUGCGGGAUGACGGCCUUCGGGUUGUAAACCGCUUUCGCCGGUGACGAAGCGUGAGUGACGGUAAUGGGUAAAGAAGCACCGGCUAACUACGUG
RNAcentral lists this ribosomal RNA (468 nucleotides) under uncultured bacterium. RNAcentral's name for it is "partial 16S ribosomal RNA". It matches the Rfam family "Bacterial small subunit ribosomal RNA", at positions 28 to 507 of the family's 1533-position model. The record is from RNAcentral.